GUAGUCUCGCACAGAUGCAUAUCAAUAAGCGGAGGAAAAGAAACUAACAAGGAUUCCCCUAGUAACGGCGAGUGAAGCGGGAAGAGCUCAAAUUUGAAAUCUUAAAGGGUUUCCCUUUACGAAUUGUAGUUUAAAGAAGUGUUUUCUGUUGAGGUUUUGGUAAAAGUUCUUUGGAGUAGGACAUCAUAGAGGGUGAGAAUCCCGUAUUUGACCUUUACUUUCAACUUUGUGAUACACUUUCAAAGAGUCGGAUUGUUUGGGAAUGCAGUCCAAAAUGGGUGGUAAAUUUCAUCUAAAGCUAAAUAUUGGCGAGAGACCGAUAGCGAACAAGUACCGUGAGGGAAAGAUGAAAAGAACUUUGAAAAGAGAGUUAAACAGUACGUGAAAUUGUCAAAAGGGAAGCGUUUGACACCAGUGUUGUUUUUCUGAAAAUCAAUUAAAGAACUGUUUAUGCUAAGCUGUUUAGACUUUAUCAGCUAACUGUUUAGUUUUGAGCUUUUCUUUAAUGCACUUUUCAGUUAACAAGUCAACAUCAAUUUCUUUUGCUGUAAAAAAGCUUGAGGAAGGUGGCUUGAGAUUCGUCUUAAGUGUUUAUAGCCUCUUGCCUAUGCAGUCGGAGAGAUUGAGGUCUGCAGCGUAGAUCCUUCGGGGCUAAAUGCAUUUGUGCUAAGUUAUAGCAUUUUAUAGACAACUUGUUGACUAUGAUUUGUCUUGUAGCUUACUCGCUUAUGUUAUUUUACCUACGCUUAGGAUGUUGACGCGCGUGUGUGCGUG
This 774-nucleotide ribosomal RNA is filed under the name uncultured Neocallimastigales. RNAcentral describes it as "partial large subunit ribosomal RNA". It matches the Rfam family "Eukaryotic large subunit ribosomal RNA", at positions 24 to 639 of the family's 3401-position model. The record is from RNAcentral. Lineage: Eukaryota; Fungi; Neocallimastigomycota; Neocallimastigomycetes; Neocallimastigales.